RNAcentral lists this long non-coding RNA (15332 nucleotides) under Capsicum annuum. RNAcentral describes it as "long non-coding RNA (CANN_LNC009644)". The record is from RNAcentral. Lineage: Eukaryota; Viridiplantae; Streptophyta; Magnoliopsida; Solanales; Solanaceae.
UACAAUCCCUCCUCCUUCAAAUCGACCUUGUCCUCAAGGUUAACUCUAUGAAACAAACUACGGAAAUUGGCUAUGAAUGUAACUCCAAUCUUCCCAUGUUGCUUCCUCAGCACUAAGAUUAGCCCAAUGCACUAACACUUGCACUGCUGCAGUAUUGUUUGCAUGCAUCAUUCAUCGACGAAUUACUGCGAGGGGUUCCACCAUAACCCGACUAGUACUGUCACAAACUGGUGGUUGCUACUGCAAGGUGAUGUCUGUACCUACCCAACGUUUAAGCUGGGACACGUGGAAGACUGGGUGCACUUGAGGCCAUGGUGAAAGAUGCAAAUGGUAAGCCACUGACCCUAUCUUUUCCAGUACUUCGUAGGGCCUAUAAUAUUUUGCACAUAACUUGAGAUUGUGCCUCACUUUCACUGAGGAUUGACGAUACGGUUGCAGUUUUAAAUAGACCUUGUCACCCACCUGUAGAGUCUUUUUUGACCUAUUGUGAUCCGCAUAAAACUUUAUUCUUGACUGGGACAACAGUAGAUUAUCCCACAAAUAUUGUAAUAUUUGUUGCGUGUGGACAAUACAUGCUCCAGCUGGUGUCUGGGUUGAGUAGCCUAGUGAACCCAAGGGAACCUGAGAUGGUUUGAUACCAUAGAGGGCUUCAAAUGGUGUGGACUUGAGUGACUGGUGGUAGUUGGUAUUAUACCAAAAUUCAGUGAGAUACAACCAUUUACUCCACUCCUUAGGAUUAUUAAAUACCAUAGCUCUCAAGUAAGUCUCCAAGCAUUUGUUGAGCCGUUUAAUCUGCCCGUCCGAUUGGGGAUGAUAAGCUGAGGCCAGAUUGAGUGUAGUUCCCAAGGAUUUAAACAACUGUCUCCAAAAUAAACUAGUAAGACAGAGUCUCGAUCAGUCACAAUGGACUUUGGAAGGCCAUGUAACCUAUAAAUUUCCCUUAGAAACACUUCAGCUAUAGUCUGUGCUGUGUAAGGUAUUUUAGGGCAAUAAAAUGACCAUAUUUAGUCAAUCUGUCCACCACUACCAAAAUAGAAUUCUUGUGAUGAGAAUCGGGCAACCCUUCAAUGAAAUCCAUCCCAAUAUCAUGUCAUGGCUUCUCAGGGAUGGGUAGUGGUUAUAGAAGACCUAGGUAGUGCACAUUUUCUGAUUUAAUUCUCUGGCAGACAUCACAUUCACUCACCCACUAAAAUAUGUCUUUCUUCAUAUUAGGCCAAUAAAAUAUCAUCUUUAUUCUUUUGUAGGUGGCCUGCUGACCAGAGUGACCCCCCCAUUGGAGAAAGAUGAAGUGCUUGGCAUACCUUGCUUCUCAGGUCAGUUCCUUUUCCAAGGAAUAUCUUCUGAUCAUAUCUGAUUACUCUUUGAUGGAGUGUAUAUCUUCCCAUAUUAGUGGGGUUGGUGAUCAACUCAGUAAUUAAUUGUAAGGCCUUGACGUCAUGCUCAUAGCAAAGAAUCACCUUCUGCAUCCAAGUAGGUUCUAAGCUGGUCAUAGCUGUUACACUGGCUUCAUUCUCCAACCUCCUAGAUAAUGUAUCAGCCACCCUAUUUUCUGUUCCUUUCUUAUAUUGAACCUCAUAAUCUAGGCCGAGCAACUUAGUUAGUCCUUUUUAUUGUAAGGCAGUAGUAAUUUUCUACUCAAGCAAAUAUUUGAGGCUGUGAUGGUCAGUUCUAAUGAUGAAAUGCCCUACCAUCAGAUAGUGUCUCCACCUAUCAACAGCAGAUAGUACUGCCAAGUACUCUUUUUCAUAUGUAGAAAGCCCCCAGUUCUUAGGAGCUAUAGUUUUGCUAAAAUAUGUUAUAGGUCUGCCAUCCUGCAUCAAAACUGCCCCUAUCCCUUUAGUACAUGCAUCAGUUUCCACAAUGAAAGAUUUAGUAAAAUCAGCUAGGCUCAAUACAGGGGUUGUAUUCAUAGCAUCUUUCAAUUUUUGAAAUACAAUAGUGGAUUCUGAACCCCAACUAAAAGUAUUCUUCUUCAAUAAGGUAGUUAAAGGCUUGCUAAUCCAUCCAUAUUUUUUGAUGAAUCUCCUAUAAUAGCCCAUGAGCCCUAAGAAGCCCAUCAAUGACUUGAGUGUUUUUGGCAUUGGCCAAUUCACCAUAGCUUCUAUCUUGGUCGGAUCAGUUUUAACACCUUUUCCAGUGAUAAUGUGUCCCAAGUAUUCUAUCUUGUCUUGACUAAAAGAAUAUUUUGAUUUCUUUGCAUAUAGUUGUUCUUUCCUUAGGACAUCCAGUACUUGUUAAAGAUGAACCACAUGCUCUUGAAUAGUACUAUACAUAAGAAUAUCAUCAAAGAAUACCAAAACAAACUGCCUCAAAUAGUCUUUGAACACAUGGUUCAUGAGACUUUGGAAGGUAAGGGCAUUGGUCAGUCCAAAGGGCAUGACCUUGAAUUCAUAAUGUCCCAAGUGUGUUCUAAAAGUUGUCUUAUGAAUGUCUGGCUCAUUCAUUCUAAUCUGAUGAUAGCCAGCCUGCAAAUCUAUUUUUGAAAACACCACUGCCCCAUGUAGUUAAUCUAAUAGUUCAUCAACCAAGGGAAUGGAAAAUUUAUCCUUCACAGUCAUUUUAUUUAGUUCCCUGUAGUCCAUACAAAAUCUCCAGGUUCCAUCUUUCUUCUUAACUAAUAACACUGGGGAGGAAAAGAGGGAGUGGCUGGGCUGGAUAAUGCCAUGCUUCAACAUCUCUUUUGAUCUAACUUUUAAUUUCAUUUUUUUGAAAAUAGUUAUAUCUGUAAGGUCUUAUACUUACAGGAAUACUUUCAGGUUGUAGGGGAAUAAAGUGAUCAUGUUGUCUUCGAGAUGGCAAAGUGUAACACCUCAAAAAAUUUUGAAUCUAAGUUAAUAUUGUUAGAAGGGUAUAACAUUAAGUUUAUGAAGAAUAAUAUAAGUAUAGUUAUUUAUAUUAAUGAAUGGCCCUUUUUUAUAUUUUCUUUUAUGUAUUUGGUAAUAUUAGGGGCAUGUGGGGGCCACCUUUAAUUAUUUUCAUAAUUAGAUUAAAGAGAAGGAAAAAGAAAAUGAAUUAGGGACUUACUUUGUCAAUCCGUCACUGGAAACAUUUCUAGGAAAACAAGGAAACAAGCGGUGUUGCCUUGUUUCUUUAACUACUAUAUUUCUUUCCUUCUCCAUUUCUUCUGUUCUUCCUCUCUUUCUUCUCUAUGAACGAGCAAAUUAAUUUAGGGUAUCAAGAAGGGAUUAUACGUGGAGGAAAAAGUAUUUAUGUUCUUUGAAUCAUAAGUUAAAGAAUUUUGUGACAGCCCCAAAGGACUUCAAGAACUAGUUCAUAUAGUCUAUAGUUGGAAUUUGAGUUCCAAGAGGUAAAUUCUCUACUGUUUAUUUUGAAUAUAAUUAUAUAUUAGUAUUUGGGAAUAUUUGAUUUGAAUUUUUGGCACUAGUAUUUGAAAUGGGUUCAUGAGAAGAAAAAGGAAAAAAAAAAAAAAGGAGAAGAUUUUGGUGAAAGAAGGGGUUUUAGGGUUUCCUAUCAAUUGUGUGGAUUUAUCGUGAAUUGUAUAAAUUGGAAAUGGAAGAAUUCCUUUCGGAUUAUCGUUAAGAAAUUCAAUUGAAUUCAGGUAUAAUUGAUGAAUAUGGAAUUAAAUUGUUAAAUGUUCCUACGAAUUAGUAAAGGACGCAUAUGUUAUACUUGCAGUUAUUAAGUUGCCUUUUGAUAGCGGAACUUAGUGGUUGGAAAUACAAAAGCUAUACUCCCGUGGGUAGUGUCAUUUGGGGACCCGAAAUACUAUCCUACCUAGUUAAGCACUAAGGUAUGUAAAGUUAAACCCUCCCCCACCGCUAAGGCACCACCCUACGUCACAUGUUUCUCCCUGUUGAUGUUAAUAUAACUCUCGAAAAGAGAGAAGAAUCUUUAUAUUGCCUUACAUAUCAUUCCUUCGUUCUACCAUCAAUUUUAUAAGUAUCUACCUUUUUCUCUUUAUGUUAAGCUUCUAUGAUACUUUCAUACUAUCAUAAGUUUCCCUACCUGAACCCCUUAGGCCUCAGUAUAUGUAUAUAUAUCACACGUUAGGAUUAAAAAGGUAAACGGUGACAGUAUAGUUGCAUUUGUAUCUACUAGCCAAAUGAUCAUUAUCGUAACUCACAUGUCAUAGGCCUUCAAGGCAUUAUUUGAUAAACAUUAAUAACGGAAGGGUAUAUAGGUUUGGCUUGGUAUAUCGCUCGACGUUAUUCUGUGCAAAGGAUCGAGAUCAAACCACUAUAGAGAGCCCAAUCAUUGGGCGUACCCACCUUUGUGGCAUCAUUUUUAUUGGAAGUCAGUUGGAACGUCAUUUAUUGGUUUCCCCUGACUCGAGCCAACAUAUGACAUAUAUGGCCUACGGGCAGACCCUCAUAGUAAGCCCCUGGGUGGGGCGUACCUGGAUAUAGACUGCGAUUACAGUUACUCGUAUGAUAUCAUAGCAAUAAGUAUGAGAGCAACAUAUGCUUUAUACUUGCCUCAGAUCACCUUCGGAAGGCCAUCUUGUGAUCAUGUAUGCGACUUGUAGGAUAAGAGCAUCACCUAGGCAAAGUGUAGGCCCUAAAUUAUAGUGAAUGUUUUUUUUCAAAACAUUGUAUAAGAUGCUAAUAAGGUCGGUACAUAAGUUAUCAGUCCAUAUCAUAUAUGUGUUACUUGUUGGCUCAUACACUUGUUAUUUUAUCAUUUGACUCAUAUGAGCUUCUGUACUUGACCAGCUGUUAUUCUGUCUACUUUCAUACCAGUACAUGUUAUUUAUGUACUGACGUUAUGGGCCCACCAUGUUUUACUAAUGUAGGCUCAGGUCCUCAAAAUUAUAGACGUCCACCUUAGUAUCUAUUGCCGUUAUCAGCUGAUAUUUUGGUGAGCUCCAACUCUCUCUGGAGCUAGUCUAUGCACAGUAUUUAAUUACAUGUACAGAUCCCUAGUUGGGCAUGAUGGGCCCUAUGCCAACUAGUCAUUUGUAGUAUAGCGUGGUAAAUUAGCUAGAGGCUUCAUGGACAUCGUGUAGUAGUGUAUUAUAUAGUCUUGUUAAUAUAACUUUCUCAUUUAUAUAUACAACACUUAUCGAAUAUCUUGCCCUUUAUUAUCUUAUAACCUCACGUACGUCGUAAUGUGCUUGUAGAGUAAGUGUAUAGGGUUCCUGUCCGUCAUUAUCAUUUUGGGGCGUGACAAACUUGGUAUCAGAGCGCCUAGGUUCAAGUGUCCUCAGAAGUCUAUGAAGCCGUGUCUAGUAGGACCUUACUUAUCGAUGUCUUGUGCUCCACUUUGAUAAUUAAGGGAUUACGUGGGCAUUUAGGAAUUUGACCUUUAUAUAUAAUCUAGAUCGUGCAAUAGAGUUAAGUUGUAGAAAGUUACUUCUGACCCCUAUUCUGCUUAUUUGUGAUACAGACCAUGUCUGCUGCAGAAAAGGAUAAAGCAGCCCAGCAGGCUGCUACUAGCACUACUCAGGAGGCAGCCAUUAUCGGGCCAUCUCCCGUAUUGGUGGAUCUGAAUAGGACUCAAGAAAGUUCGUUGGGUUCUAUGUUUUCAGGUUCUCAAAUGCCCGAAAGAAAAAGACCUAUAGGGUUUUUUAUACCUCUAGAGGUACCAACGGUAGCUCCUAUCCCCCCAUCAGGUGCCUCAGACCCAGAUAUAAAGGGAGCGAUACAGUUGCUUACACAGUUGGUUGCUGCUCAGGCCCAAAGACAGAAUGUGGACAUACCCGUUGCUACUCAGGAAGGGAUAGCCAAAUCUAGGAUCAAAGAUUUUCUCCGUAUGAAUCCACCAGAAUUCACAGGUUCCAAGCUUACAGAGGACCCUCAAUAUUUCAUUGAUGAGACUCAUAGAAUUUGUAAGGUGAUGUGGGUCCCGAAUACAGAUGCAGUUGAAUUGGACGCCCAUCGACUGAAAGAUAUUAUUGUUGACUGGUAUGAGAUAUGGGUUGAUUUGAGAGGUCAGGAAGCUCCUCCAGCGGUCUGGACAGAAUUUGCAGAAGUUUUUAUGGACCACUUCAUGCCAUUAGAGCUCAGAGAGGCAAAAAUAGAUGAAUUUCUUUCUUUAAAGCAGGGUAAUCUUAGUGUUAAGGAGUAUUAUUUGCAGUUUACUCAGUUGUCCAAAUAUGCUCCAGAGGUGGUUAACACAUAAGCAAAACAGAUUCAUCGCUUUAUGAAUGGCCUUACGAGUCCCUUAAAGGACCUUUUUUCUGUUGCUAUUAUGAAUAGGGAUUUGGAUAUAGCAAGGAUCAUGGCACGUGCUCAGCAGAUAGAGGAAGAUCAGCGAAAUCGUGAAAGAGAUAGCGAGAGAGGGUAGAGUAAGAGAGUUAGGACGGCUAACCAGUAUCAGGGAAGCAGUGGAGCUUCCACUAGUAGAAGGCCACUUAGGCAGAUCCAGUCAGUUGUGCGCUCCACAUCUAAUACUCCAACUCAAUUCUUGAGGCACAGGUAUGAGCAAAUUCAGACUUCUAGAGCACCAGACUUACGACCUCAGAGGGGUGUUAGUCGAGGGUUACCACCUUGUUCUACAUGCAGGCAGUGUGGACGACCACAUGGAGAAGAGUGUCGGCGUGGUUCCAGUGCAUGUUACUGGUGUGGUAUAGAGGCUCAUAUGGUAAGUAAUUGUCCACAUCUCAGAGGUAAAGGUAGAAGUGAUCAAUCACAGCCUACAAGGUCUGCAUCAGCUUCAUCUUCAUCAGUGUCUUCUUCUUCUCGAGGUCCUCAGGCAUCAGCAGGCAGAGGAUCAGGUAGGGAUAGAGGGCCUGGUUCGGGCGCAGGCCCAAACUAUAUGUAUGCACUAGCUGGUCGAUAGGAUUCAGAGGCAUCUCCAGAUGUGGUCACAGAUACCUUAACUGUCUUUUCAUAUGAUGUAUAUGCGUUAAUAGACCCAGGUUCUACCUUGUCAUAUGUUACUCCAUUCAUUACUAAGAAGUUCGAAAUUGAGCUAGAGUUGUUACACGAACCAUUUGCAGUAUCAACUCCAGUAGGAGAUUCUGUUAUAGCUAGACGAGUAUAUUAUGAUUGUGUGGUGAUAAUAUGUGGUCGUGCUACAUUGGCUAAUUUGAUUGAACUUAAAAUGGUUGAUUUCGACAUUAUUAUGGGAAUGGAUUGGUUAUCCUCUUGUUACGCCAUAGUUGAUUGUCGAUCCAAGAUAGCUCAUUUUUGUUUCCCAGGAGAGCCAGUCUUAGAGUAGAGGGGUGACUUUAUGGUGCCUAGAGGGAAGUUUAUUUCCUUUCUUAAGGCACAAAAACUUAUUGCAAAGGGGUGUUUGUACCACCUAGUCCAAGUAAAAGACGUUGAGGCUGAGAAGUAGGCACCGACUCUAGAAUCGGUACCAGUGGUGAACGAGUACUCAGAUGUGUUUCCUGAUGAGCUUCCUGGAUUACCUCCUGUUAGGGAAAUCGAUUUUGGUAUUGAUGUGGAUCCCGAUACGCAGCCGAUAUCAAUUUCACCUUAUAGAAUAGCUCCUGUAAAAUUGAAAGAGCUAAAAGAACAGUUAAAGGAUUUACUUAAUAAAGGUUUCAUUCAGCCCAGUAUAUCACCUUGGGGUACGACAAUACUUUUUUUUACGUAACAAAGAUGGCACAUUGCGAAUGUGUAUAGAUUACAGGCAGCUGAACAAAGUAACAAUAAAGAAUAAAUACCCUCUUCCCCGAAUAGAUGAUUUAUUCGAUCAAUUACAGGGAUCUAAAAGCUUUUCAAAGAUCGAUUUGAGGUCCGGUUAUCACCAGUUAAGAAUUCGUGAAGCAGAUAUUCCCAAAAUAGCCUUUCGAAUAAGAUAUGGGUAUUUGAGUUUCUUGUCAUGUCAUUUGGACUAACGAAUGCUCCGGCAGCCUUCAUGGACAUGAUGAACAGGAUUUUCAAACCUUUUCUUGAUAUGUAUGUGAUUGUAUUUAUAGAUGAUAUUUUAAUAUAUUCACAUAAUGAAGUUGAGCAUGCAGAUCAUUUGAGGUCAGUAUUGCAGAUGCUGAGAGAGCACCAGUUGUAUGUUAAGUUCUCUAAGUGUGAGUUUUGGUUGACCUCGAUAGCCUUUCUUGGUCAUGUAGUAUCUGGAGAAGGCAUCAGAGUAGAUUUUCAGAAGAUAGAAGCUGUGAAGAAUUAGCCUCAACCAACCACUCCUACGGAGGUGCGUAGUUUCUUGGGGCUAGCAAGUUAUUAUAGGAGAUUUGUGGAGGGAUUUUCCUCUAUUUCUGCCCCAUUGACCAAAUUGACGCAGAAAACGGUUAAAUACCAGUGGUCAAAUACUUGUGAAAGAAGUUUCCAAGAGCUGAAACAUAGAUUAACCACGGCGCCAGUGUUGGCCUUACCAGAGGGCACAGAAGGAUAUGUGGUGUAUUGUGAUGCUUCAGGUAUUGGUUUGGGUUGCAUUCUAAUGCAGCAUGGAAGAGUUAUAGCGUAUGCUUCUCGACAACUAAAGAAACAUGAACAAAAUUACCCUACUCAUGACUUAGAGCUUGCAGCAGUGGUAUUUGCACUUAAAAUUUGGCGUCAUUAUUUAUAUGGAGUGCAUGUUGAUAUCUUUUCAUAUCAUAAGAGUCUUCAAUAUCUAUUCAAACAGAAAUAGUGGAACUUGAGGAAAAGAAGGUGGUUAGAGUUAUUGAAGGAUUAUGACGUUAAUAUUCUCUAUCAUCCAGGUAAAGGUAACAUUGUGGCUGAUGCUCUUAGUCGACUAUCCAUAGGUAUUCUAGCACAUCUGCUACCUUUUUAGUGGGAAGUAGCAAAAGAUGUUUACAAAUUGGCUAAUCUCAGCGUUCGCCUUUUGGAUUCCGAAGAUGGUGGCGUUGUGGUACUCAAUACAGCCGAGUCGUCACUUGUGACACUGGUUAAAUAGAGACAGUAUGAUGACCCCUUAUUGCUCCAAUACAAAGAGAUGAUUCAACAACAUCAAAUCACGGCAUUUGAACUAGUAGGUGAUGGCACCUUGAGGUGUCGAGGUAGAUUAUGUGUGCCUGAUGUAGAAGUUUGCAUCAACAGAUUAUGGCUGAGGCACAUUGCUCUCGCUAUUCAAUCCAUCCUGGAUCUACAAAAAUGUAUCAUGAUCUUAAAGCGAUCUACUGGUGGAACGAUAUGAAAAAAGAUAUAGCAAAAUAUGUGGCACAGUGCUCCAACUGUCAGCAGGUGAAAGCGGAACAUCAAAGACCCGGUGGCCUAGCUCAAACCUUUAGUAUUCCUUGUGGAAGUGGGAUGCUAUUUAUAUGGAUUUUGUUGUAGGCUUACCUUUGUCUUACCGGAAACAUGACUCUAUUUGGGUAAUAGUUGAUCGACUGACGAAAUCUGCCUAUUUCCUUCCUGUUAAGUCUACCAGCACGGCUGAAGAUUAUGCUAAGUUAUAUGUAAAAGAUAUUAUCCGCCUACAUGGGACCCCGAUAUCUAUUAUUUCAGAUAGAGGUUCCUCAUUUAAAGCUCAAUUUUGGAAAUCAUUCUAUAAGAGCUUGGGUACGCAGGUGAACCUAAGUACGGUAUUUCAUCCUCAAAUAGACGGCCAAGCUGAGCGCACCAUUCAGACGCUCGAAGAUAUGUUGAGAGCAUGUAUGCUAGACUUUAAAGGUAAUUGGGACGAUCAUUUGCCUUUAAUAGAAUUUGCUUAUAAUAACAGUUAUCACUCCAGUAUUGGCAUGGCUCCCUUUGAAGCUCUAUAUAGAAGACGAUGUAGAUCACCUAUUGGUUGGUUUGAAGUAGGCGAGACACAGGUAUUAGGUUCGAAUUUAGUCCAUCAAGCUGUUGAAAAGGCUAAACUGAUACGAGAGCGGUUGAAGGCUGCCCAAAGUAGGCAAAAAUCAUAUACGGAUGUGCGACGUAGAGAUUUAGAGUUUUAUGUUGAUGAUUUUGUGUUCCUAAAGGUGUCGCCGAUGAAGGGCGUUAUGCGAUUCGGUAAAAAGGGUAAAUUGAGUCCCAGGUAUAUUAGGCCCUAUAGAGUUAUUCGCAAAAUUGGCAGGUAGCUUAUGAGCUAGAAUUACCUCUAGAGUUAGCUGCAGUGCACCCUUUCUUUCAUGUGUCUAUGCUAAGUAAAUGGUUAGGAGAGUCGUCUCGCGUUGGGUAUUGAACUUGCUGAAGACUUAUCAUUCAAGGAAUUCCCCGUGGCCAUACUAGAUCGACAGGUCAGGAAGUUAAGAUCUAGAGACAUAGCUUCAGUAAAGGUGUUGUGGAGGAACCAGGACGUAGAAGAAGCCACGUGGGAAGAAAAAGUGGAUAUGAAAACUAAAUACCCUUAUUUAUUUCAAAAAUUAUCAGAAGGUUCUUGAAUUACUUGUCCCUUUAUAUGAUCAUUAGUUUCUACUAUAUUUGUUAUGUUGAUAUCUGAUUCUUAUUUGAUAUGUUUAGGUACAUGAUUUGUGCCUAAAAGCCUUGAUAUUUACAUGGAAAUAGCAUGCACAUGCAGGGUAUAAGGUAAGUUACAUGGUUGGUUAUGACUUUUAAUUGUGUGUAAGGCCAGGGGGGAGCCUUGUGUACUAUUUUUGGAUUUAAGGCCAAGUGGAGCCUCUUAUGUUAUUUGUUGAGUAUUAUAUGUGUGGUGACGCUCUGUGAAGCGUAUUUGGAUGUGUUCUGGCUAGCUGACAGGUACCCGAUAGUCCUAUUUACAAAGGAAACUCUAGCGAAAUUUUUUAGAAAUUAGAGGGUUAGUCAAAUUUUUGACUAUCAUUGACAAAGUAAGACCGAACGUGGUUAAAUGUUAUAAUGAAGGUGUUGGACCAUGGUGGAAUGGAUAACAAGCUAUAAGCAUCAUUCGAGGACGAAUGAUCCUAAGUGGGGGAGAUUGUAACACCUCAAAAAAUUUUGAAUCUAAGUUAAUAUUGUUAGAAGGGUAUAACAUUAAGUUUAUAAAGAAUAAUAUAAGUAUCUUUUUUAUAUUUUCUUUUAUGUAUUUGGUAAUAUUAGGGUCAUGUGGGUGCCACCUUUAAUUAUUUUCAUAAUUAGAUUAAAGAGAAGGAUAAAGAAAAUAAAUUAGGGACUUACUUUGUCAAUCCGUCCUGGAAACACUACCAGGAAAACAAGGAAACAGGUGGUGCUGCCUUGUUUCUUUAACUACUAUAUUUAUUUCCUUCUCCACUUCUUCCGUUCUUCCUCCCUUUCUUCUCUAUCAACGAGCAAAUUAAUUUAGGGUAUCAAGAAGGGAUUAUAUGUGGAGGAAAAAGUAUUCAUGUUCUUUGAAUCAUAAGUUAAAGAAUUUUGUGGCAGCCCUAAAGGACUUCAAGUUUAUAAGUAUCUAUCUUUUCCUCUUUAUGUUAAGUUUCUAUGAUACUUUCAUACUAUCAUAAUUUUCCCUACCUGAACCCCUUAGGCUUCAGUAUAUGUAUAUAUAUCACACGUUAAGAGUAAAAAGGUAAACGGUGAUAGCAUAGUUGCACUUGUAUCUGCUAGCCAAACGAUCAUUAUCGUAACUCACAUGUCAUAGGCCUUAAAGGCAUUAUUUGAUAAACAUUAACAACGGGAGGGUACAUAGGUUUGGCUUGGCAUAUCGCUCGACGUUAUUCUGUGCAAAGGAUCAAGACCAGACCACUAUAGCAAGCCCAAUCAUUGGGGGUACCCGUCUUUGUGGCAUCAUUUGUAUUGGAAGUCGGUUGGAACGUCAUGUAUUGGUUUCCCCUGACUCGAGCCAACAUAUGGCAUAUAUGGUCUGCGGGCAGACCCUCAUAGUGAGCCCCUAGGUGGGGCGUACCUGGAUAUAAACUGCGAUUACAGUUACACGUAUGAUAUCAUAGCAAUGAGUGUGAGAGCAACAUAUGCUUUAUACUUGCCUCAGAUCGCCUUCGGAAGGCCAUCUUAUGAUCAUGUAUGCGACUUGUAGGAUAAGAGCAUAGGCCCUAAAUUAUAGUGAAUGUUUUUUUUAAAAAAACAUUGUAUAAGAUGCUAAUAAGGUCGGUACAUAAGUUAUCGGUACAUAUCAUAUAUGUGUUACUUGUUGGCUCAUACACUUGUUAUUUUAUCAUUUGACUCAUAUGAGCUUCUGUACUUGACCAGAUGUUAUUCUGUCUGAUUUCAUACCAGUACAUAUUGUUUAUGUACUAACAUUACGGUCCCACCAUGUUUUACUAAUGCAGGCUCAGAUCCUCAGAAUAGCAAACGUCCACUUUAGGUUCUAUUACCGUUAUCAGUUGAUAUUUUGGUGAACUCCAACUCUCUCUGGAGCUAGUCUAUGCAUAGUAUUUAAUUACAUGUACAGGUCCCUAGUUGGGCAUGACGGGCCCUAUGCCAACUAGUCACUUGUAGUAUAGCGUGGUAAAUUGGCUAGAGGCUUCAUGGACAUCGUGUAGUAUUGUAUUGUAUAGUCUUGUUAAUAUAACUUCCUUGUUUAUAUAUGCAACACUUAUCGAAUAUCUUGCCCGUUAUUAUCUUAUAACCUCGCGUAUGUCGUAACGUGCUUGUAGAGUAAGUGUGUAGGGUUCCUGUCCGUCAUUAUCAUUUUGAGGCGUGACAUAGAGUGGUUGGUUCCAUAAAAACAUCAGUGUAUUCUUCCAUUGUUGAACUAAAAAUCCCGGGUAAGCUCUUCUGUUCUUUUCCUUCUACUGGUGUAAUGGUGAAAAAAUGACCCCAAAUAAAUUUUCCCUUCUUCAUUAGUUGUUUCAAAGUUCCAGCUAACAUACUUUGCAAUGUAGCUUCAUGGUAAAUACCCCUCAACCUCACCAUUUUUCCUUUGUAUGAGACUUGAGCUUCAUAAGCUAUGAAGUCUAACAGCACCGGAUUGUGAUUUUUUAUCCAAUCACCCCCUAAAAUCAUGUCACAAGCUCCCAAUUUUGCCAAUCUGAUUGAGUCGUCAAACUCUAUUCCUUGAAUUUUCUAUUUGAACAUAGGACAAGAGUGAUAACUCAUAAGGAUACCUCCAUCCGCAACUGUCACUCUCAUUGGAUUAGCAUGUCGUAUGGUACAUCCCAUCUCUUUAGCUGCUGCUAUGUCUAAGAAACUGUGUGUACUCCCUAAAUCUAACAAUAUCAUCAAGUUUUUCUUGCCCACUUCCCCUUGAAGUCGUAUAGUGUUUGGAACUUCCACCCCUGAUAAUGCAUGUAGGCUAAUGGCCUCAUCCACUUCCAGUUCUCCAUUGAAUUCCCCUACUUUCUAUACUUCUUCUGUUACAGGUUCCUCAACUGUCCCUUCUUGUUCUUCAGUAGCUGUUAAAGCAUUUAACUGUUUAUAUUUGCACUGAUUCCCGUAAUAAUACUUAUCCCCACACUUGUAACACAAGCCUUGUGUUCUUCUCGCCUCUAUUAACUUGUUGUUAGUAGAUAUUGUGCCAGAUUGUCCUUCCUUUUAUGCAUUAUUGAUUUGUUUACUGGGAUAUGUGAGGGAUAGAUUGUUAGGCUUGUUCCACUGGAUUUUAUUUCUCUUGCUAGCUGCUUCUAGAACUUUUUCCUGGUGUCGAGCCUUAUCUACAGCUUGACUAAAGGAAAAAAGGUUAAGCAUUUUCACGGUAUGUUUAGUAUCUUCCUUUAGUCCUUCAAUGAAGAAUCCCAGGAAAAACUCCUCUGGUAUGGUAGGAUUUCUUAUCAAUACCCAAGCCUUCAAAUCCUCAAACCUCUCCAGAUAUUCAUUGACAGUGGUCCGUUGCUCUAUCUUCUUGAACUCUCCCAGCAAAUUUAAUGCACUAUUAGCUGCAUCCGCAAAUCGUUUACAAAUUUCGUCUACAAACUCCGGCCAUCUAACAGUUCCUCGACUCAAUUGAUAAGAGAAAUACCAAGCUUCUGCUCUUCCACUAAGAUGUAACACCGCCAUUUCCAAUUUUUCUUUCGGCAUCUCGACUCGAUGGUAGUGAAAAUACCUCACACUUGUGCAACCAUGCUUGUGGAUCACCAUCUUCGAAAUAGGGAAAUUCAACUUUGUGAUUAAAAUUGUGCGUUUGGUGUUGUCUUACUCCAGGUACUUCAUGAUGUUCCAUGUUCCCAUGCCGUCCAACUGAACCACUAGCUUGAGCUACUCCAGGCGGUGCUCUCAAAAUUUCGUCUCUCGCUGGAAUUAACCUCUCCAUCAUAACAUCCAAUUUCCUACCAAGGUCAUCAAUUUUGGCAUCUGUAGCUUCCGCCGUCUGAUUUGCUGCUGAUACAUGGGCCGUGAAUUGAGAUUCCAGCUUUCUGAUGUUCUCCUCCAACGUUUUUGAUCGUGUUUCUGCCAUUGGCAUUUAUAGGGCUAGGACGUGGCUCUGAUACCAAUUUGUAAUGUCCAAAAAUACGAAUCGAUUGUAACGAAUUGGGGAAUAUUAUUGAUAGUCAACUAUUGUGAAUUUUACAAUUUCAACUGAAAGAAUACAACGAAAUUGUAACUACGCAUUCAUCUAUUCCGCCAUUGAUGGUACUUGAACCUUCAACUAAGUUCCUGUAAGAGAAAUUAGAGUGAGGAUCGGGAAAGGUAAGGUGAGUUUCUGAGAAUGGUUUAUACCGAUAAUGAUCUAACUCCAAUUGGGAUAUUUAGUGAAUUGGAGAUGAAUCUUCUAGAAUUUUUGAUCUGCACCAUUGGAUCACGAAAUGAUCUUCAAAUCCCAACUAUUUGUUUUAUUCUCUUGGGCAGCCCCACUAGUGACGUGGCUGCUUCUACUACACAGGUGCCUUUCACUUUACUCUUAUUCCCCAAAUCAUCAACCAAAAUUAUAUACAACCCCCAGACAUUACACAAAGCUGGUUGUUCUGGUGGUGCAAUUGUCUGUGCAGUGGUUGAUCUCAGUCAUAUUCCAUGAAACAAGUUUAAGCUAUAAAUUGUAGUCUUUGUAAAAAAUAGAAUAGAUCAGUUGAAAACUUUUAAGUGUUUGGCUCAGUUCAAGUAUAAGAAUUGGUUUAUAAAAGUAAAGAACUUAAAGUGACAGGUGUAUAGCAAUUUUAAUCGUGACUUGAUUUGUCCACUUUAAAUUGUAAUCUCUUAUUUGGUGACAGGUUGCAGAUGUUUCUAUCAAUAACUUAACACGGUUAAUUGCUUAUUUUGCAUCAUAUGUGAUGGAUAUCAUGAUUUUUUGAGGUCUGGUUGUCGGGUCGGAUGUGGUUUUACGCGUACAAGAGACGCGUUUGAAUGUUCAAGUGACCGGGUCGAGUGUGGUUUUAAGUUGGAUCGGGUUUGAUUUUAUUUUGGGUUGGAUUUGUGAUGAAUUUAGCUGAAUUUAAUUUUAAAAAAAGUUAGCAAAUAGAAAAUCGAUACGUGUCUUUUCGUUAGUGAUAAGGGUAUAUUUGUACCUUUUCAUUAACGGCGAGGGUAUAUAUGUACCUAAAGUAUAACGAGGAAUAUAUCUUUACCAUUUAUCAAAAUUCGGGUAUAUUCAUACCUUUUCCGUAUGUAGAAAAUGAGACUGCUGCCUCUGUUAUGCAGAUGUACCUGAAACUGUCGAGCAUCUUUUUGUUGAGUGUCAAUGGGUGUCUGAGAUGAGGAAUACCCUGGCGUCUUAGGCUGGGAUUGCAUUUCCAAAGCAAGCUGCCAGGCAAAGUCUACAAU